GUGAGGAAUAUUGGUCAAUGGGCGCAAGCCUGAACCAGCCAUGCCGCGUGCAGGAAGACGGUCCUAUGGAUUGUAAACUGCUUUUAUUUGGGAAUAAACCUCCUUACGUGUAGGGAGCUGAAGGUACCAAAUGAAUAAGCACCGGCUAACUCCGUGCCAGCAGCCGCGGUAAUACGGAGGGUGCAAGCGUUAUCCGGAAUCAUUGGGUUUAACGGGUCCGCAGGCGGUCAUAUAAGUCAGUGGUGAAAGCCUACAGCUAAACUGUAGAACUGCCAUUGAUACUGUAUGACUUGAAUUCGAUCGAAGUGGGCGGAAUGUGACAUGUAGCGGUGAAAUGCUUAGAUAUGUCACAGAACACCGAUAGCGAAGGCAGCUCACUAGGUCUGGAUUGACGCUCAGGGACGAAAGCGUGGGGAGCAAACAGGAUUAGAAACCCUGGUAGUCC
This 445-nucleotide ribosomal RNA is filed under the name uncultured bacterium. RNAcentral's name for it is "partial 16S ribosomal RNA". It matches the Rfam family "Bacterial small subunit ribosomal RNA", at positions 354 to 796 of the family's 1533-position model. The record is from RNAcentral.